This 471-nucleotide ribosomal RNA is filed under the name Ischnotelson guanambiensis. RNAcentral describes it as "partial 16S ribosomal RNA". It matches the Rfam family "Archaeal large subunit ribosomal RNA", at positions 1908 to 2669 of the family's 2987-position model. Lineage: Eukaryota; Metazoa; Arthropoda; Arachnida; Scorpiones; Buthidae. The record is from RNAcentral.
AUCUCUUAGAAAUAAUUAAGAGUCAGCCCUGCCCCCUGCUCUGUAAAGGGCCGCGGUAUUUUGACUGUGCAAAGGUAGCAUAAUAAUUAGUCUUAUAAUUGAAGACUGGAAUGAAAGGGUCAACCUGGAAGGACCUCUCUCAAGCAUACAACUUGAAUUUUACUUUUUAGUAAAAAGGCUAAAAUAAUUCUCUUAGACAAGAAGACCCUAUAAAGCUUAACAAAUCUUAAGCCUAUUCAAGCUUAACAUUGUUUGGCUGGGGCGGCAAAGGAACAAACAUCCUUAAAACUUAAUAAACCAUUAUAAUAUCUGGAACUUCCAAAAAUAAAACAAGUUACUUUAGGGAUAACAGCGUUAUAUAUCUAGAAAGAUCAAAUUGACAGAUAUGUUUGCGACCUCGAUGUUGGAUUAAGAAACCUUCAUUAUGCAAAAGUAAUUAAAGGAGGUCUGUUCGACCUUUAAAAUCCUCCA